This is a long non-coding RNA of Ornithorhynchus anatinus (platypus), 993 nucleotides long. RefSeq lists it as uncharacterized. The transcript is spliced from 4 exons. The record is from RefSeq and is a predicted model, not a curated record. NCBI's taxonomy places the organism in Eukaryota, Metazoa, Chordata, Mammalia, Monotremata, Ornithorhynchidae.
CAACAGGGAAACCCUCCAAGUGCCCUCGAAGAUUCUUCAACUGAAUAUUCCAGUCCACAUUAUAUUACAAUGCCACUGCCACUACCUCUGCUUCCGACACUGAUUGCACCGUUCUCUCCCCGAAUUUCCCUCCCUGAACUAGACCAAGGUCCUCAUGGCUCUUAUUCUCGCUCCAGUACAGACAGACAAUGAAUGACUACAGAACAAUUGCCAGAAAUGAACGGUGACCUGUGAAAUCAUGCUACACGGAGGUGGAGGCUAUUCAGUGCACACCACAGGCUCCCCUACAUUUGACAAAAGUGAGACUUUCUGGAGUUACCUGGCCCCAAAUGCUGGACAGAAAUUGCUCAUCUUCCACCCUCUCAUAGGCUCUAGGAAUCUAAAAAUUAUAGCCAUUUAGAUAGAGGAUAAAAAACACAUCUGUUUUUAGAAGACUGCAAAGAUUUAAAAAUGUGAAUUAAUUCCUUUAACAUAUUUAAUCAAUAACAUUUAUUCACAUUUUAGAUGUUUGAACCAACUAUUUUCCGCAACCAUCCUCUCUUACCCUUUCUAAUUGUUUCAUUUGGUUUCUUGGAAAGUAUUUGUAUGGGGGUUUUUGACGUGGUUUGUGAAAGUUCUUCUGCACCAACUCUUUUUAUAGGAGCUUUCAUAAGAUAUUAGUUUUUUUAAUUCAUCAGAAUGAAAAAAUCCUGUUCAAAGGAGAACAUUUUCCACUGAAUAGUAGAAGGUGGAUGUCUUCAGUGAUUUUUCUGUAUUACUUAUCAGUUUAUGUAUUACAGAAGAAAUAUAUAGCGGCCUUUGUACAGAAAAAAACAUAUAAAUCAAAAACAUUUUUAGGCCAUGUUUCCUGCAUUUGAUGCCUGAAGAAAAUCUAUAGCCUUUCUCUUAUUCAGAUUUAAUUUGGCAGAAAAUCAUGCAGAUAGAAUUUUAAUGUCAACUUCAUCUUUUACUGUUAGAUUACAAGGAUUUCUAUAUUAAAGUAUAAAUGUUAAA